Molecule: small nuclear RNA, 199 nt
Organism: Cavia porcellus (domestic guinea pig)
Lineage: Eukaryota; Metazoa; Chordata; Mammalia; Rodentia; Caviidae
Product: U2 spliceosomal RNA
Exons: 1
Source: RefSeq, a predicted model, not a curated record
AUCACUUCUCAGCCUUCUGGCUGAGGUCGAGUGUAGUACCUGUUCUUACCAGUUUAAUAUCUGAUACGUCCUCUAUCCGAGAACAAUACAUUACAUGGAUUUUUGGAGCUGGGAGAUGGAAUAGGAGCUUGCUCCGUGCACUCCAUGUGUCGACCUGGUAUUGCAGUACCUCCCGGGGACCUUCCCCGGGGAAACAUAA